RNAcentral lists this microRNA precursor (74 nucleotides) under Myotis brandtii (Brandt's bat). Its description in RNAcentral is "mir-9193 microRNA precursor family". It matches the Rfam family "mir-9193 microRNA precursor family". The record is from Rfam by way of RNAcentral. Lineage: Eukaryota; Metazoa; Chordata; Mammalia; Chiroptera; Vespertilionidae.
CUUGGGGGGUAGGGGUCCCUCAGCCCGAAUUGCGAGAGGGCGCAGGCAAGGCUGAGGGACCCCAUCGGUGCAGA